AGCAGCCGCGGUAAUUCCAGCUCCAAUAGCGUAUAUUAAAGUUGUUGCAGUUAAAAAGCUCGUAGUUGAAUUUCGGAACCGAUGGAUCGGUCACGCCAUUCGGUGUGUACUGGUUUAAUUGGUUCUCACCUUCUAAGGAACCGUGAUGUCAUUAAUUUGGUGUCGCGGGGAAUUAGG
This 177-nucleotide unclassified non-coding RNA is filed under the name uncultured Glomus. RNAcentral describes it as "sequence contains 18S rRNA gene". It matches the Rfam family "Eukaryotic small subunit ribosomal RNA", at positions 569 to 746 of the family's 1831-position model. The record is from RNAcentral. Lineage: Eukaryota; Fungi; Glomeromycota; Glomeromycetes; Glomerales; Glomeraceae.